Molecule: transfer RNA, 73 nt
Filed under: Solirubrobacterales bacterium
Lineage: Bacteria; Bacillati; Actinomycetota; Thermoleophilia; Solirubrobacterales
Also listed under: 1 other name
Description: tRNA-Phe
Rfam family: tRNA
About the family: Transfer RNA (tRNA) molecules are approximately 80 nucleotides in length. Their secondary structure includes four short double-helical elements and three loops (D, anti-codon, and T loops).
Source: RNAcentral
GGCGAGGUAGCUCAGUUGGUAGAGCACACGACUGAAAAUCGUGGUGUCCCCGGUUCGAUCCCGGGCCUCGCCA